GGCCAGUCUGAGGUGUGGGUUAAUGCCUUUCCCUUCUAAUGGCUUUUAACAGAAGGCACUUGGGACCGCAGUCCCUUCAUGCAAAGGGCUGGAUCUCUAAUGGUGGGAAUUCCAGGCAUAUGGCCAGGGACAGGCCACCUGACCCCAGGCCUCCAGUGGUUGCCUGCCAGGUAUUGGGAGGAAGUGGCUGCUGACUCCACCUGCCAUUGCUUGGACCCUCAUGGAAGUCAUUCUGUGGGAGCAAACCCUGGGCCAUGCGCUCUGAGGACAGCCUGUUGUGCAGUUGGGGUAUAAAGUUCUUUACAGACUUGCCAGAGCAGAGCUGGGAACCCAAGAAAUGCUUGCUGACCAAACAUCCUGGGCUAAUCAAGAAGGACCACAGCUCUUGAUGGGAGCACCCAGCAUUGCCUUAUAGUCAGGAACAAGGGGAUCUUUACCUUCCCGAAUUCCUUUGCUCAGAUCCCUUCUCCCCUCACUUGGAAGAAUGGCCACCACAUUCCUGCAUGUACACCAGGGUCACAGAAAUGAAGUGUCCCACAGGCCUGUCUCACAGGCUUAUUUAUGUUCACUCUAACCUGAUUUCUCUUAGGGCUGGUCUAAUUAUCUCUAAAGCAUGCCUGUCCAUGGAGCCGGAAAGUCGCAAGAAUCUUCCCAAUCUCAAGAGAUACAAACAAAGAAUGAAAGAAUAAGAAUACAUCUGAAUCUUCUUCCCUUCCCUGUCUUUUCUUCUUUCCUCCCGUCCCCAUGUUUGGUGCUUUUGCCCAUGAAUCAAUGUGUGGCUUGUUUUCGCAGGGUACGGCAGAUAGGCUUCCUACUCGAGAAAGCUCCCACUCCCACCUAAGAGCUUCAGAGCCUUCCCUUCAUCUGCCCCCGCAACUGAAGACCCUGCAGGCUCAGGGACAGGGGUCAGGCUGAAAACACUCCCCUGGAGCCCAGUGGAGGACGUUGGGGAACUCGAGUGUCCUCUGGCUCCAUGUCUCUGAUCUAAGCUCAUCAGGACUCACCCAAGACAGAGAAUCUAAGACUAAAUGAGUCCACACACCUGUCAUUUGCCUGCAGUAACGCUGAUCCCUGGGUGUCAGAGUAACUCUAGGAUGACACCCCUGCAUAGAGGCAUUUCCAAGCAGCUGAGGAGGAAGCAAGGAUUAUCAAGAAGCGGUUACCAUUGAGAAGGUAAAGUGUUACAUUAAGUGGCCCAGAAAGUAUAAAAGUACAUGUGGAAAGAGCUGGGUUGCGGGAGAUGAACGUGACCAUGCAGUGAAGUAGGGCUUCACUGCCCUGCAUACGGCUUCUUCAGCUAAGAGAGACAGAAAUUCAACACAAGCUGGAUUUAAAAAAAAAGGCAGGGUUUAGUUCAUGUAACUGGGAAGAGUAUGGGUGGCUCUAGCAUUGGGUUCUACGGGAUCAAGAGUUCAAAUG
This 1419-nucleotide long non-coding RNA is filed under the name Equus caballus (horse). RNAcentral's name for it is "lncRNA (ENSECAG00000055497.1)". Lineage: Eukaryota; Metazoa; Chordata; Mammalia; Perissodactyla; Equidae. The record is from RNAcentral.